Dipodomys ordii (Ord's kangaroo rat) is the source of this 72-nucleotide non-coding RNA. NCBI's taxonomy places the organism in Eukaryota, Metazoa, Chordata, Mammalia, Rodentia, Heteromyidae. The record is from Rfam.
GGGAAGGUGGCUCAGUGGUAGAGCACUUGCCUUGCAUUCAUGAGGCCCUGGGUUCGAUUCCUCAGCACCCCA